UUUCCUACGGGGGUCAGCAGUGAGUAAUCUUGGUCCCUUUUCUCGAGCCUGAACCAGCCAAGUAGCGUGAAGGAUGACUGCCCUACGGGUUGUAAACUUCUUUUAUAAAGGAAUAAAGUGAGGCACGUAUGCCUUUUUGUAUGUACUUUAUGAAUAAGGAUCGGCUAACUCCGUGCCAGCAGCCGCGGUAAUACGGAGGAUCCGAGCGUUAUCCGGAUUUAUUGGGUUUAAAGGGAGCGUAGAUGGGUUGUUAAGUCAGUUGUGAAAGUUUGCGGCUCAACCGUAAAAUUGCAAUUGAUACUGGC
RNAcentral lists this ribosomal RNA (305 nucleotides) under uncultured bacterium. RNAcentral describes it as "bacterial SSU rRNA". It matches the Rfam family "Bacterial small subunit ribosomal RNA", at positions 335 to 637 of the family's 1533-position model. The record is from RNAcentral.